Molecule: ribosomal RNA, 253 nt
Filed under: uncultured bacterium
Lineage: Bacteria
Description: partial 16S ribosomal RNA
Rfam family: Bacterial small subunit ribosomal RNA
Source: RNAcentral
UACGGGGGGGGUAAGCGUUGUUCGGAAUUACUGGGCGGAAAGGGCUCGUAGGCGGCCAACUAAGUCGGACGUGAAAUCCCUCAGCUUAACUGGGGAACUGCGUCCGAUACUGGAUGGCUUGGAUUUGGGAGAGGGAUGCGGAAUUCCAGGUGUAGCGGUGAAAUGCGUAGAUAUCUGGAGGAACACCGGUGGCGAAGGCGGCAUCCUGGACCAACAUUGACGCUGAGGAGCGAAAGCUAGGGGAGCAAACGGG